AUGAAGUUCCUUCGGGGAUGGAUUAGUGGCGAACGGGUGAGGAACACGUGAAGAAUCUGCCCUCCACUUUGGGAUAACUCCGGGAAACCGGGGCUAAUACCGAAUAUUGAAACAUAAGCGGCAUCGCUGAGUUUUGAAAGAAUUUCGGUGGAGGAUGACUUCGCGGCCUAUCAGCUUGUUGGUGAGGUAAUGGCUCACCAAGGCAACGACGGGUAGCCGGCCUGAGAGGGCGACCGGCCACACUGGGACUGAGACACGGCCCAGACUCCUACGGGAUGCAGCAGUGGGGAAUAUUGGGCAAUGGACGCAAGUCUGACCCAGCGACGCCGCGUGCGGGAUGAAGGCCUUCGGGUUGUAAACCACUUUCAGCAGGGAAGAAGCGAAAGUGACGGUACCUGCAAAAGAAGCACCGGCUAACUAUGUG
This 424-nucleotide ribosomal RNA is filed under the name uncultured bacterium. RNAcentral's name for it is "bacterial SSU rRNA". It matches the Rfam family "Bacterial small subunit ribosomal RNA", at positions 69 to 507 of the family's 1533-position model. The record is from RNAcentral.